RNAcentral lists this ribosomal RNA (427 nucleotides) under Boana multifasciata group sp. ABGD cluster 71. RNAcentral's name for it is "partial large subunit ribosomal RNA". It matches the Rfam family "Archaeal large subunit ribosomal RNA", at positions 1922 to 2490 of the family's 2987-position model. RNAcentral also lists the same sequence under 1 other name. Lineage: Eukaryota; Metazoa; Chordata; Amphibia; Anura; Hylidae. The record is from RNAcentral.
UUUGAUAAAAAUAUAAAAGGUCCAGCCUGCCCAGUGACCUAGUUCAACGGCCGCGGUAUCCUAACCGUGCGAAGGUAGCGUAAUCACUUGUUCUUUAAAUGAGGACUAGUAUGAAUGGCACCACGAGGGUUAAACUGUCUCCUUUUUCUAAUCAGUGAAACUAAUCUCCCCGUGAAGAAGCGGGGAUUACCAUAUAAGACGAGAAGACCCUAUGGAGCUUAAAACAAAUUAACACCUGCUUCCAUCUAUCUUUAUUCCUGAGCUAACACAUAAAAUACAGCAUUAUUGAUUAAUAGUUUUCGAUUGGGGUGAUCACGGAGUAAAAAUCAACCUCCACGACGAAAGGGCCACUUCCCUGAGCUAAAAGCUACAACUUUAAGCACUAAAAAAAUUAACGCACUUUGACCCAAAUUUUUGAGCAACGAAC